GACGAACGCUGGCGGCGUGCUUAACACAUGCAAGUCGAGCGGUAAGGCCCUUUCGGGGGUACACGAGCGGCGAACGGGUGAGUAACACGUGAGUAAUCUGCCCUCUACUUUGGGAUAACCCUCGGAAACGGGGGCUAAUACCGGAUAUGACUUCUGCACGCAUGUGUGGGGGUGGAAAGUUUUUUCGGUAGGGGAUGAGCUCGCGGCCUAUCAGCUUGUUGGUGGGGUGAUGGCCUACCAAGGCUUCGACGGGUAGCCGGCCUGAGAGGGUGACCGGCCACACUGGGACUGAGACACGGCCCAGACUCCUACGGGAGGCAGCAGUGGGGAAUAUUGGACAAUGGGCGAAAGCCUGAUCCAGCAACGCCGCGUGAGGGAUGACGGCCUUCGGGUUGUAAACCUCUUUCAGCACAGACGAAGCGCAAGUGACGGUAUGUGCAGAAGAAGGACCGGCCAACUACGUGCCAGCCGCCGCCGUAACAC
RNAcentral lists this ribosomal RNA (483 nucleotides) under uncultured bacterium. RNAcentral describes it as "bacterial SSU rRNA". It matches the Rfam family "Bacterial small subunit ribosomal RNA", at positions 28 to 526 of the family's 1533-position model. The record is from RNAcentral.